UGCUUUUGCAGCUGGAAUCCUGCGGGAAACGGGGCUGAGAGGCUGUGGCUUCCAGGCUGCCUUUGCCGAACACCGAGUUCUCUUGUGGGUUCAGCCACAGACAUCAUUCCUGUACUCUUCAAGAAUCUAUCACCUAAUUGGCUGUGGCUGCCACAAUCCAAGGAGAAGUGGCUGUAAUUCAUGGGCAGCUCACACAACUCCUCCAAGCACCAGGAAGAAAGUGCUCCCAGAUGCACAGAAGAGAAAAACAGUGUGUAAAGCGGCUGCCAGCCAAUGUUGGCCAUAAAAAUCCCCAGCACCUGGCAAAAUAGAGGUAGUGGCAGCAGUAAUACACAGAAGCCCCAGAAGAGAAGAAAUGAGGAUCUGGAAAAGGGACAACCUUUGGUCCUCGGGAGCAGGUCUAUUCAAAUGAGGCCAAAAGAGGUUCAAGAUCACUGUUCUCUCUCCUUUGGGCUCAAAAGAGCCUAAAAAGCAGACUCCAGCUCCAACUCCUUCAACAGAUGAACGCCCUACAUCUGGAUUCUUGGCAUGGCCCCAAAAUUACAUCUGCCUUUGGCCAAGCCCAGAGCUAAACUGCAAAGGAAAUUAAAUUUUGGAAAUAUAGAGCACAGGCUACCGAUAAGGAGGUGAUAUUAUUACCCAGGGACUGCCAAAAUUCCCUACCCACAACUUGCAACAAGAUUAAAAAGGAAACUUCAAGAAUCAACAGGCAGGAAGAGCCAUUUCCCAAACUUUGAGAAGGGGGCAGGGGAUACCUCACCACCUCAGGUGAAGAGCGGACCCGUGGAACCAUCUGAGAGGGAAGGCUGCCUUUAUAGAAGUGACACAAGUUAAGGUCAUUCUGUCCCUCAACGCCAGCCAGCUCCACACCUUGUUAGCCUAGACUUAGAGUUGGAAAUGUAUCACACCCAUCAAGUCCCGUUCUGUGUAUCCUGAAAAGGGACCAGAAGGAAAGACAAAUGAGAACGGUCUGCUGGAGUCAUUCCAAAGUGGCGCUGUCUCCAACAGAAUGGUAACCUCAGGAGAUCACGGACCCCCAGGUUCCUCAGAGGGUGGUAUGGAGCUUCCAGCACUGCGGAGGAAGUAGGGCCUAGGGGCCUAAAGCCCCCUCCCACCACCAUGGUUUCUAAUUCCACAGGCUGCUGAACUUGGUACAUCAAGGCCCUACUGUGGCCCAUUAACAUAUAAACUUCAGAAGCUACUCUCUACUCCCAGCCUCC
Molecule: long non-coding RNA, 1220 nt
Organism: Fukomys damarensis (Damara mole-rat)
Lineage: Eukaryota; Metazoa; Chordata; Mammalia; Rodentia; Bathyergidae
Exons: 3
Source: RefSeq, a predicted model, not a curated record